RNAcentral lists this ribosomal RNA (444 nucleotides) under uncultured Streptococcus sp. RNAcentral describes it as "bacterial SSU rRNA". It matches the Rfam family "Bacterial small subunit ribosomal RNA", at positions 936 to 1382 of the family's 1533-position model. Lineage: Bacteria; Bacillati; Bacillota; Bacilli; Lactobacillales; Streptococcaceae. The record is from RNAcentral.
AGCAUGUGGUUUAAUUCGAAGCAACGCGAAGAACCUUACCAGGUCUUGACAUCCCGAUGCUAUUUCUAGAGAUAGAAAGUUACUUCGGUACAUCGGUGACAGGUGGUGCAUGGUUGUCGUCAGCUCGUGUCGUGAGAUGUUGGGUUAAGUCCCGCAACGAGCGCAACCCCUAUUGUUAGUUGCCAUCAUUCAGUUGGGCACUCUAGCGAGACUGCCGGUAAUAAACCGGAGGAAGUGGGGAUGACGUCAAAUCAUCAUGCCCCUUAUGACCUGGGCUACACACGUGCUACAAUGGUUGGUACAACGAGUUGCGAGUCGGUGACGGCGAGCUAAUCUCUUAAAGCCAAUCUCAGUUCGGAUUGUAGGCUGCAACUCGCCUACAUGAAGUCGGAAUCGCUAGUAAUCGCGGAUCAGCACGCCGCGGUGAAUACGUUCCCGGGCCUU